This 254-nucleotide ribosomal RNA is filed under the name uncultured bacterium. RNAcentral describes it as "partial 16S ribosomal RNA". It matches the Rfam family "Bacterial small subunit ribosomal RNA", at positions 524 to 776 of the family's 1533-position model. The record is from RNAcentral.
UACGUAGGGCGCAAGCGUUGUCCGGAAUUAUUGGGCGUAAAGAGCUCGUAGGUGGUUUGUCGCGUCUGCCGUGAAAACCCGAGGCUUAACCUCGUGGCUUGCGGUGGAUACGGGCAGACUAGAGGUAGGUAGGGGAGAAUGGAAUUCCCGGUGUAGCGGUGAAAUGCGCAGAUAUCGGGAGGAACACCGGUGGCGAAGGCGGUUCUCUGGGCCUUACCUGACGCUGAGGAGCGAAAGCGUGGGGAGCGAACAGG